This 112-nucleotide small RNA is filed under the name Drosophila willistoni. Its description in RNAcentral is "GK27745". Lineage: Eukaryota; Metazoa; Arthropoda; Insecta; Diptera; Drosophilidae. The record is from RNAcentral.
UCAACUCAAAAAAAACCCACAAAGAAGGAAUUGGCAAUGAAAAAGAUUGACGCAGAGAGAAGGGAAAAAGGAACUGUUUUUGCAAAAGUUGCUGACCGUAAUGGAAUAAGGA